Molecule: long non-coding RNA, 7456 nt
Filed under: Lactuca sativa (garden lettuce)
Lineage: Eukaryota; Viridiplantae; Streptophyta; Magnoliopsida; Asterales; Asteraceae
Description: long non-coding RNA (LSAT_LNC004845)
Source: RNAcentral
UAUGGAAAUCGAUAUUAACAUAUAAUUAGGUUUAAGAUGUUACCUUGAUUGUUAUGUAGCAAUAACAAUCCCAAUUCCUCCUUGAAUUUACUUUGGAAGGCUUAGAGUCACAAGUGUCACUCCUCUAAUGGCUUACAAACACCAAGAGCAAAUGGAGAAAGUAUAAAGAGAGAGGAGAGGUAUAAGAAUUCAUCUCUAGGACCUCUUGCGAAGGCAUGGACGAAUUCAUGAGCCUUGGGGUCUUUAUAUAGGUGUAGAGAUUAGGGUUUUAGUCCUUAUCCUUAUCUAGUUGCUUGCCCACCAAGUAACCAUAAGAUAAGCCUUAAAAACCCUUAUCCUAGUCGAAUUCUAAGGCCUUAUCACCUUAAAUUCGUCCAACCCAUUAAUAAGAUAAUCCUUACCUUAUUUUGUAACUAUCACAUAAUUACAAUUCAGCCCCUCUAGUUUAAUUAAUUACACUUGAUCACAAAAUUAAUUCUUAAUUAAUUAUUGACCAAUAUUAAUUAAACAAAUAUGAUUUCUCCUUUAAUAUAUUAUUCUUAUAACAUAUUAAUAAAUCAUAAUAACCUCUCUCUCUAUUUAUUUCUCCAAUCAAGUUGCUUUGGUGAAGGCAACCCAAAAGGACCAUGCACCAUCGGGUCAAGUACAUACCAAAAUAGUUAUGGACUUAGACACUAAUCCAACAGUCUCCCACUUGGAUAAGUCUAAUAACUAUUCUGCGUAUGACUUUAGAUCCUGAUCUGCAAUCGUAGCUUUCCAAAGCCGCUGUCAACUCUGAUCCUAUCAGAUACGCGUGUCCUUAGAUAAGGGAUCAUAUAUUCCUCCAUUCUAGAUAUCAUAUGAGAUAUGAUUUCAAAUCAUUCUCUUUGUACUAUAUCUCGAUUUCCGAUUUAUGACGACUGACUAAUUGAACAAAUCAAAUUAGCCCUAGCCCGGCCGAGCAUUUACGUUUGUCAUCACUAAACCAUCGAGGGGCCCAAAGAUAUCGCUUUUAUCCUACUUUGGAUAAAAGGAACGGAUAAACUUUGAUACAAUGCUUGCUUGCACUCACUCACCGAAUCACACACAACAAUAUGUUUUAUAACACCAAGUUACUAGUGCGUUUACAUAUUAUCAAUGUGCAACCGAUUUGCAAGAUACAACUCACACAUCUCGGUUUCAAGAAUAUAAGAUGUUAUCGUCUCACCAAUCACUCGUGAUACAAUUCAUGGAGUGAUCCAAGUGAGCGUGGGUUUAAUCCAAUGCUCAAAUCACAUUCAUAAGCACUCAUGAACGUUGCAGCAAACAUUUGCUUAUGUCUAAUACUCUUUUAGACAAUCCACACACCAAUUCACGACAGUCUUCAUUCAUAUCUACUUCCAACAUAUGAACGACUGUGGCCCGUUUGAAUAAUUCGAUUAUUCUUAAUAAACUCAAUUAUUCUGGAAGUCAAAACAUGCAAAUGUGAAACACAAGAAUAAUACUAAUCCCAUAUGGCCUCAAACCUUUGAGUAUAAAUAAAACACCUUUUAUUUAUCACCAUAUUGAUUACUCAUUAUUUGUCGUUUCGGGUAAUCAACUUCUUACUUGAAUUCCAACACUUGUCCCAUGCUCCUAGCAUGCACACAAUGUUUACCUAUGGUUCUUACUUUGUGAAAUAGAUCACAUUGAACACAUUUCCAAUCCUUCUCAUUUCACAACUCCAAAUCCGUUUUUCAUAAGUCAAAGAAUAUCAAAUUCUUGCUACUUAUAGAAUAUGCUAGAUUCUAACAUUCUAUGCAACUAUCCUUUCGUAAUGUCACUGCACCAAAGUCACAAAGACUAUUGCCAAUGAUAUUACAAAGUCCUCUAUCGGAGAUUGUUACAAGACAAUUCCAUAGACGUGAUGUCUCUCACUCAAAGUACAUUCUUUGAACAUCCUUUUGCAUAGAAGUUUCUAAUCUAGUCAUAGAUUUCUCAAUAUUCAAUUCCCAAUAUGGACACACUUCCAUAUGUUCCAUAUGACAACUCAUUCUUAAUAGAAUCUUAUCUAUUCGUAAUGAUGUCGAUAUGGUCCAUCCAAUAUGGAAACAUUUCCAUAUUUUCCAAUACUAUACUUCCAACUACUCACAAGCGACCAAUCCUCGUCGAACUUUGGAUUGUCCUUUGAUAGUUGUUUAAUUAUUUUAGUCAAAACCAAUUCUAGUCCCUUUUCCCUCUAAAUGCGCUCGACAUUUGGAAAAUUUUAGAAUGGUCAAACAUUAAAGCAUUUGCAAUCGAUCCUAUACCCGAAGCGUAUGGGACACGACGCAUAAUGUUUUAUUUGCUAUGUUCUCAAAAUUCGAAUUGUGAAGAGGGAUGCCGUAAUCAUAAUCGAAAUUUUAAGAACACACUAUGUACCUUUGACUAAAUUUAUUAACAUUUCUCAACCUAAUCCUUUAGAUUUGAAAUGAAGCAUAAUAUUCUCUCCCUUAAUUAUAGCAAAACAACCUUUCAACUCUUACAACUUUGCAAAGUAUGACUCUUGUUUUCUAUAAUUAAUAUUGCUAACCUUGCAAUACUUUCCUUAAUAAUCAUACAAUCAUAACAUUUAUGCUCCCACUAUCAUGAUGAUUAUUAUAAAACAUAACACUUAUGCUCCCACUAGCUUCGACAUGUAUUCAUAAACAUCUUAACUUUCAGAAAAACAAUGCUUAUUGAAUUUCUUAAGUUUAUGUUUCUCAUACUUAGUGCUUUGAUGACAUUUUAUUAAGACUUCUUGAACUUAUACACCUUUGCCUUCGAUAGUUCAUAUGUGUGUCGAAACACUUAAGACUAAUUGCCAAACCUCACAAUUCAAAUUAUGGAAAGGGAUACCGUAACCAUAAUCGAAUUCGAGAAUGCAAUUUUACAAUCACUAUCUUCUUAAAAUCUUUCUUAGUGAAAGCAUUUCCUCACAAUCAUUUUCAUGAAGGAGGAAAUCUUAUGACACUUAGAUUUAAACGGUGUAUGUGUUCCUAUCCAUGUGAAUUUGUUAAAACCAAAGUUUACGACAAAUUCAAACUCAUAUGGACCGAACUUUCUUAAUCUUGAUUUCUUGCCUUAUGGUAGCACAGCUGCCCACCAUGUCUUCCAAGUAGUUAAGCAGCUCACCCUUUCCUAUCAAUGUACCUUUCAUUGAUUAAGGUGCUUUGCCUUUUAUGCGUUCAAAAUGAGAACUCAUAGAACUCACAUGCAUAAUUAACUCGAUUGGAUUGGCACAGAAUCAAAAUAAUGUCAACACGAUAGGUUGUAAACCUCAACUCGUGUGCUAGUGAUGAUCGAUAAGGUUUAUUUGAUUUGUUCUUGAAACCUUUCAAGACCAUUAAGACUCCCACUGACUCCUUGACAUAUAAGAUUCUCUUGUCAAAAACCAUUUCUUGACAAACAAAUAUUCAAGAGUUAGUGUAGCUUUUAUCAAAACACUUCAUAAAUUGGUCCUAGUUGGUCUUUGUCUUAUCCAAGACAUCACAACUUUCCACAUUUAAUGAAAGUUACAAACCUUCUUAAUAUCUUUCACUCGAUGUCACAAUCUUAACUUUAAGACUUGUUAUUGGAACGAAGUAUGAUUGACUUAUUGAUUUAACCAUUUCUUCAAUUCUUGAUUCCUCUUCUUAGACAUACAAUUGUACUAAGACUCACUUAGAGGAUCAAUUGAGAUAUGGUUCUUAAUCAUUAAGACCUAUCAUAAAGCAUAAAAGGUACUCUCCCAUCUUCUUAGAAUGGAGAAACUUUUAUCUUUCUGCCUACUUGAUUCUUCUUAUUCGUUCUGCUAUUGAUCUAAACCCUUUAAUCAAUUCAGAAUUACACUUAAUCUUGUAAGUAUAAUCAUAUUUACUAAACCUUUAGUAAAUCAUGAAGAAUAUCUUUGUUACUCUUAUGGUGGACUUGAUCAACACGCAACUUUGUGUAUUCGAUCUCCAAGUCCUUCACUUGACACUUUGUCAAUGAAUUAGUCUAAUUUCCAAAUAUGAAAUUUCUCAUUCAUCGUGCAACCAAGUUGCAUGAUUCCAAAUUUCUGUCCAAUUAAAACUUGGGCGAUGAGAAACUCUCCCUAUUUGGUAAAUUCUCGACUUUUCCAUAAACACCAUAAAUAAGAAUCAUAUCCAUUUGUUGUAGAAAUAUGCAAACACCAAUUUUCAUAACGAUUUCAUUGCAAGGAAAUAAACAAAUAAAUAAGUCAAACAAAAAUUUAUUUUAUUUAUAAAAGCAGCGGAAAACAUUUGUCCUUACAAUGCAAAAUCCAUUGAAAACUAUGUAUUUGAAAAGAAAAUUUUCUAACAACUCCAUCAUAACUAUCUAAGCUCAAAAUCUAAUCUUCAUGUCCAUGCGAUCAAGAUCCAUUCCUUGUGAUUAGAUUCAUCUCUCUCUUUCACCAAGCUUCCUUUCUUUUCACCGAUCUUGUAAAACAUUCAAAUGCAAUCUUAUUAUAUUAUGUAUUAAGAAUUAAUGAAUAGGAACUUAAUGGAGUUAGAUAGUGGAUUUUACCUGAAGUGCAGCCAUACUCUUUGACUCUCCCAUCUUCUGGACUCUUCAGGCUCUUUGGGCAGACUUGUAUCCAACGUCUUUUCUUUUGGCAGCAAACGCAGGUCGGUUCUCCUAGAACGUCCUCGGAAGUAUGGCCGGUUGACUCUCCCAACAAAUACGCUCCAUUGCUUCGCCAAAUCAUUUAUGAUUCAACAGCAAUGAGCAUGUAAGUUAGGUCAAUGAGUUUGUCGUCAUGAUCCAUCAUAUAAUACUUUCUUUUGAACUCAUUAUAUGAUUUAGGAAGUGACUGCAAAACCCAAUUUCCAGCCACCUCAUCUGGGAAUGACACACCCAACGUUAUCAACCUAUCAAUGUGUGAUUUCAUUCCUAGAAUGUGGGCACACACAGGUUUACCAUCUUCAUGUUUCAUUUCCAAUAGGGACUUAGUGAUAUUGAACCUUUCAAUUCUUCGAUCUUGUAGGUUGGGGAAAACAAUAGGAGGAGGAGGAAGUGAAGCUUGAUUUCUCGUUCCUCGAUUGAAUCGUGGAAUACCAUCUUCAUGUGGAAUGCUUGUUCCACUGGAUUUGGGAAGACCAUAGUUGUCGAACUUUGACAUCUACAAAAUGGGAGAAAAACAAAUUCAAGUUAGUUGAUUGAUUGAGUCCUUAGUAAAUCACCCAAAUGACAUACUAAGGCUAGGACCCAACACAAUAUUCUACAACUCGGGAGAUGGAUGUCGUAACCCAAAUUGUAGAACAUUUGAAGGUAAGCGAAUGACGAUUCACUAAUUUCCACCAUGAAAAAGAAAUUUAAGUUUUAAAUCUAUGAAAACUCUUAGAUCCUUUGAGAUUCAUUGAACUUUCAAUGGCAUGUUUAAAUCUCGAUAUGCCCCUCUUGUUUGUGACUGGGAUGCCGAGGAUCACAAAGCGGGUGUGAAUAACCAUGCAAACUUACAUGGUGCCCUCACAUGUUACAGUCACCUAUUCGAUGUGCCGGUAAACCACACACGCUCCACCGAACUAUGACAAACAUUGAGUCACCCUUUGCUACCUUUGCUUAGAACCAUUUAGUGUGCCGGUAAACCACACACGCUCCACUAACGUCUUCGCAAGGGCACAAAGUGUAAUUUCAUGGAAUUGCAUCAAUUCACUUUUGCCUAAGUAACUAAGAUUGGGAAUUUUAUGAAAACAUUUAGUUACUUUAAUAAUUCAUUAUACUUAUAAUGGAAGGUUUCGUCCUAUCCUACCCGUUCGGCUAACGACCCUCCACUAGUCAAGAGUGCGGUGGGUAAGAGUGGAUACCCAUUCAAUCGCCAUUUUAUAGGCAAUUUCCUUAAACACCCCUUAUAGACCAGCUUCGUGAAUGAGGCCUACUAACGGUAAGACUGACUUUUACUCAUACAUAUAUAUAAUGUUAGACUUUUAAUGUUAUAUAUAGUAUAGGGUGUAUUUUAUACUUUUAAAAUACUAGGUGGUCUAAUUUAACAAUUAUACUUUUAAUUCAAUUAAAUUGUAAACCUAAACUUUUAUGGAUUUAUUAAACCUCUUUUAAUUAUACACCUUAAUUAAUUAAUAAAACCAUAAGGGUGUGAUUUGAACUUUUUCAAAACUAUACUAGGGUUUUAGAAUUUAACAUUCCUAAUUAAACUUUUAAUCAACUUUUAAAUUCCAAAACUUGAGGGCAAGUUUUGAAACAUUUCAAAACAUUAGGGUUUAGAAUUUAAAUAUACAUCAAAAUUAAACUAUUAAUCAAAAUUUAAAUUCCAAAACUUGAGGGCAAGUUUUGAAACCUUUUUCAAAACAUUAGGGUUUCAACUAUUUAAAUUUCAAAACAACAAAACUUUUGGGUUCAAAUUUAAACUAUAAAACCUAAGGGGAAAAUAUGAAACUUUUCAUAACAACAAGGAUCAAAUAACAAAUAAUUUAAAUUAACAUUUAAUCACAUAAUUAUCCAUAUUUGAUUUAUUUAAUGAUUUCUUGCAAAACAAUUUAUCAAUUUAGUCAAAAUAAUUAAUCAAUUAUCUCAUAAGGAAACAAUUAUCUUAUUAAUUGAUAAAUAUCUUCAAUUAGAUCAAAAAUAUAGUCAAAUAUAUCAUAUAAUCGGAUUAAUAUUGAUCUAAUAUGAUAAGGUAACCAUCCAUAAGCAAAAACAGCAAGAAAUCCCGAAGUAUGCUCCAUCUGACGCUCAAACUCGCCGAGUACCACACUGUACUCGCCGAGUUGAGGUCUACUCGUCGAGUACACUGUGGUACUCGCCGUGUUCCUCAUCCAGAAAGCCCAAAAAUCAAUUUUGAAAACACAUCAAGCAACAUUACAAUAGAAACCAAUCAAGGCUCUGAUACCACUGAUGGGUUUUGGUCAUAAGACAUCCUAUGUGCUCAUACAAACCCUAAUGCUUGGAUCUAGGUUUCUCUAUUGUACAUGCAAGUUAUCCAAGACUGUAAACCCUAAUUCUUGCAUAUAGAAAUCGAUAUUAACAUAUAAUUAGGUUUAAGAUGUUACCUUGAUUGUUAUGUAGCAAUAACAAUCCCAAUUCCUCCUUGAAUUGACUUUGGAAGGCUUAGAGUCAUAAGUGUCACUCCUCUAAUGGCUUACAAACACCAAGAGAAAAUGGAGAAGGUAUAAAGAGAGAGCAGAGGUAUAAGAAUGCGUCUCUAGGACCUCUUGGGAAGGCAUGGACGAAUUCAUGAGCCUUGGGGUCUUUAUAUAGGUGUAGAGAUUAGGGUUUUAGUCCUUAUCCUUAUCUAGUUGCUUGCCCACCAAGUAACCAUAAGAUAAGCCUUAAAAACCCUUAUCCUAGUCAAAUUCUAAGGCCUUAUAACCUUAGAUUCGUCCAACCCAUUAAUAAGAUAAUCCUUACCUUAUUUUGUAACUAUCACAUAAUUACAAUUCAGCCCCUCUAGUUUAAUUAAUUACACUUGAUCACAAAAUUAAUUCUUAAUUAAUUAUUGACCAAUAUUAAUUAAACAAAUAUGAUUUCUACUUUAAUAUAUUAUUCUUAUAACAUAUUAAUA